RNAcentral lists this ribosomal RNA (497 nucleotides) under uncultured bacterium. RNAcentral describes it as "partial 16S ribosomal RNA". It matches the Rfam family "Bacterial small subunit ribosomal RNA", at positions 28 to 507 of the family's 1533-position model. The record is from RNAcentral.
GAUGAACGCUGGCGGCGUGCCUAAUACAUGCAAGUCGAGCGAACAGACGAGGAACUUGCUCCUCUGACGUUAGCGGCGGACGGGUGAGUAACACGUGGAUAACCUACCUAUAAGACUGGGAUAACUUCGGGAAACCGGAGCUAAUACCGGAUAAUAUAUUGAACCGCAUGGUUCAAUAGUGAAAGACGGUUUUGCUGUCACUUAUAGAUGGAUCCGCGCCGCAUUAGCUAGUUGGUAAGGUAACGGCUUACCAAGGCGACGAUGCGUAGCCGACCUGAGAGGGUGAUCGGCCACACUGGAACUGAGACUCGGUCCAGACUCCUACGGGAGGCAGCAGUAGGGAAUCUUCCGCAAUGGGCGAAAGCCUGACGGAGCAACGCCGCGUGAGUGAUGAAGGUCUUCGGAUCGUAAAACUCUGUUAUUAGGGAAGAACAAAUGUGUAAGUAACUAUGCACGUCUUGACGGUACCUAAUCAGAAAGCCACGGCUAACUACGUG